RNAcentral lists this small RNA (7879 nucleotides) under Rattus norvegicus (Norway rat). RNAcentral's name for it is "RGD1561251". Lineage: Eukaryota; Metazoa; Chordata; Mammalia; Rodentia; Muridae. The record is from RNAcentral.
UGUGUGUGUGUGCUUGAUGGAGGUAUUCAAUGACUGACGGUUCUGUCAGAAUUGCAUAGGAAGUGGUAAAGGCAGCCGGAGGAGGGCCAGCUCUCUAUGAGGAUUUAUGAGUAGUAUCAUUUAGGACUCUUUGGUAGCAAGUGAGAGACUCUGUUCCACCUCUGCCAACCUAAGCAUACAGGAACCUGUUUCCAUGGUGAUAGCCUCAUGAAUCCAAGAAAGGGCUGGCCAAGCAGGUUUUAAGAUAGAGAAACUUGUGAGAGCUUGGGGACCUUGGUGGCCUUCUCUUAUCCUUAUGUAUCUCCUCAAAGGUGAGAGACCGAGGGCUAAGCUGCUGGUGCCAGGUGCCCAUCAUCCAUCAGCUGCGAUCACAAGCGUCUUGGCUGGCAUUCCCACAGAGGCGGGGGAUGGGAGAGGGCUGGUUUCUGAAGGAAAGCUUGCUGCUGCUUCUGGAGGCAGAGGAAUGGGCACUGGGCAGGCGAACCGGAGGGGCACAUACCAUGGCACCUGGAUCUGCUAGCUAACUGUUGCUGUUUCCCCGGCCCUAUCCCACCACACCCAGCUGCACUGUUUUCCAGAGAAAUGGUGAGAAGACUGUUUGCACAAACAGCUAUGGAACAUUUCUCAAAGGACAAGUAGACCGUGCUCCUCCAAAGAGAGAAUCGGUGGGGUUUUACCUCUUCUGACCCAAGAGAACAAAGCUUUGGCUCGGAGGAAUAAAAAACAAAAUCAGAUGCUUAUAUAAUGCCUGUCCGAUGCCAGCUGACAUCCUAAUGCAGAUUCCAUGUACUAAGUCACAGCAGUCCCCUGUGCUAGGUGUUGCUAUUAUCCCCACCCCUACCACUUCUAGAAAGGACUAUUAUUCUUCCCCCUUUAGUCACAGAAAAGGAAGUACAGUCAGAAGAAGCUUGGUUCAGGGCCACCCUAGCUAGUGAGACUGGUUCUGGGCUCUAACCUGAGACUUCUGACUGGCAUCCACAGAGUUAGCUGCCUCUCUGAUGAGCCACAGGGAACUGGAUAUACUGUGUGUUGCUUUGGACGCCAACAGUACCAGAGCCUUAAGGCAUUGCUAUUGAACUACAAUUCCCAGCAUGCAUCUGAGAGAGCUAUUCCCCUUAACUCCUUCUUCACCAAAAACUCCCUCACGGCCUUGUAUAAAGUCAUUUUUCAAUGACAAAAUUCAACCUCUCUAUGGAAUGCCUGUGCAAUUGCAUGAAUGUAGUUGUGGGUGGGGUGAGUUUCUAGGUUAAAAUACCUUUUGCAUUUCCAGUGUCCAAAAGAAGACAUGAGAGAUUUAGCACAAUGAAGAUCUGCAAGCUUCAAAAUAUGCACUGUGGAAACUCAACACGGGUCUCAAACUUAGCUAAACUUUGGAAUCACACGAGAAAAUCUGAAAGCUCAUAAUACCUAUGUCACAGAGAGGUUAUAAUUUAGUUGUUGUUGUUUUGAGACAGGGUCUCACUAUUUAUCUCUGGCUGUCCUGGUACUCACAGCUGGCCUUGAACUCACAGAGAUCUACUUACCUCUACCUCUCAAGUGCUUGGCUUAUAGGUGUGCUAUCAUGCUAAGCUAUAACUUGCUUUUUGUUUUGUUUUGAUUUUUAAAGUCUACCCACUGGAACUUUUGAGGGAAUCCUCCAAUGAACUCUAAGGGAUCCUGCAGAAGCACACCUCUCUGAUACCUAGGGAAGUGUCAGGGUUGGCCAAGAGGCAGACAUGUUGAACAAGGAGAAACAGCCUCUUCUGAAGAAAUAGGUCUCCAUGCACCGCAGUGGUUUCCUGGAAUAAAGCUGAGGAAAGGUGAUCUCACCCCCGUCUACAUGGAGGAAGUUGUGCGAGUAUGGGGCUUCCACGAGAUGUUUCUUCACUGAUGGAAGGGAUUUAAUGUGUGCUUCCCUGGGAUUGCCACAGCAAAGAAAUGAUUUUUACAAGACCUUGCUCAUGACCUGCCUCCUGUUAUCCAAUGUCUCCUCACCGAAUAUAAGAGCCUCCUCCUGAAUCUGUCAGAAGGAUCUUGGAAGGAAAGGAUGAGAGAGAAAAACAGGCCUUCAGAGCUGGAGAACGGAUAUGAUUAUCUAUAACCCAGAUCAAGACCAGCUCCUCCAUUGAUUCUCAGCUUUGUGGAUAAGACUAAGUGAAGACAGUGCCCACUGAGCCCUGGGCCUGUGUUCCUGGGACUCUCGUUGCAGAACAGGUCCAUGACGGUGUUAGAACCUUCAGUGUCCCUGCCUUCCUGUAUCUUGGGUGUCCACAUUACCUGAUUGUUGAUGAACCUACAUGAUGAAGGUUGCUCAUGUUCUGGGUUUCCUGUUCCUGUCUUAGGUCAGUUUCCCUUUUCUCCACGUUCAUCUUCCUUUCCAUUUCCACGGUUCUGCUUAAGUGUUAGCCCCUUGAACUUGAGCACAGGAGUCCCAGGUUUUAUGGGAGGGAGAAUACUGAAGCAGGAUUCUGAGGAUGGGGUAAGUUGGAUGCUGUACAGAGUAGACUGGAUGCUGCAUCUGCUAAUCUAAUCAUAGACAUGCUUGGAGGACAAAGGGGCUUUAUGUCAGUUUGUGAGGGAGGGGAGAGAGAGAGAGAGCAAGGAGAGAGAGAGAGAGAGAGAGAGAGAGAGAGAGAGAGAGAGAGGCGUUUAAGCUAUUAAACUAUUAGGAUUUUGGGACUGACUAAUCUUUCUGGUUUCUUCUGUGAACUGUAACUAAUUGACAGUUAACCAUUCUAGACUCUGCUUCUAGAACUCUGAGUCCUAUUCGCAAGACAAGUAGCUAUGAAGAGCAAGACAAAGUGUCCCCCAUCAGCAAAUUAAAAUGUCAGAGUCACGGUUUAAACAGCAAGACACGUGUGGGGCAUGCCCACGAAGUCGACAAAUUCAAACAACUUUAGUCUUCUUCCUCAGCUCCUUCCUCCUCAUGGUGGUGCACUGAAGUCUUGCUGUAAUUGCACGAAGAGUGCCACUGUGUGGGGGAGCAUUCUGGAAGAGGCUGGGAGAAGGCAGGGGAGCCAGGCAGGCAGAGUGGUUCCUGCCCUCAGGGAGCUUUGACGCUGUAGCCAGAAGCUUUGAUUGUGUUCUAAGAAUUCUCUUUGCAGGCUCCUGGCUGCAUUAGGAGGAACUCGAAAGCUGAUUUAAAAUAAUUUCCUACCAAGGGAACAGAGUGGGAAUCCGGAUGGAUGGAGAAUUGUUAAUUUGACAUUUAAGAUUGAGGGACAAGUGGGUAUUUGUCUCAUCCCCUCGGGUUUUUUUUCUCCGUGGGAGAGAAGCAGCCAGCCUCACUGAUUGUCAAGUGUUAAUGGGAACCCUUCCAUUUUUCCCUAUUGAAAACAUGUAAUUUAAUGUGAAGCUUCUAUUGGUGGGCCGUGAGCAGGCAGAAUUCUCAGGAUAAUGAACUUGAUUUUCCACUUGAAAUGCAAUCCGCAUUCACGAAUUAUCUUUUUAUAAGGGAGACAUGGAGCAAAGUGGCUCACCCAUACAUCUCAGUUGACCUCACAAACACCUCUGAAGAGAGCGUCAUUACCUAUCUUUUAUAGACAACAAGGGGAAAUGGUAGCCUGGGGCUCUGGACUGUGCCAGUUCACUUCUGGUAGAUGAACAACUUGUUAUUUCGUUUCCCUUGGUCGAAUUGUUAUAAACAUUGCAACAUUAACACCUGCAUGACAUUUGCACGACUCAGCGCUUCGCAGCCUGGUCACGUGUCUUCUGUGGCUACUCUGCUAACCCUGUGUGCUUCAUCUGUAACAAUGGGUAAGCCCAGAUCUCUGCAGCCCAGCUUGCUUUUGUCCUAGACUAAAUCGAUAGCAAUCCAGCCUCCAGAAGUCUAAUCUAUUUCUUUAUUUGCAGAGUCUCUCUGGGGUGACACCCUUGGCCAGAGAAGACAACACUGGCACUCUCCUGUCAGAGUCCGAAAGCUCAAGAUGUAGAUGCUGUUACCACCUUGCCUGGGGCUUCCUGCUACUUGGCUGUCUUGAGUCAACAAUAGCCAAGGGGACAGAAGAAAGAGAGAAAAGUUAUAUCUAUAUGUUUGAACAGUUUGAUCCCUAAUGGAAUGGACGCUGGAGAUGAGGCAAACACAGCCCAGAGAGAACCACCAUUGUGACGCAUUAGAGAAGCACCCAUGACGAUCAAUCACUGCUGAUGGCCUGGACCGCCAGCAUCAAUACUCUAGCACUCUGGAGACUUGGAAAGUAAAACAAAGGUUGCUUGAACGCAAACACUCUGCCACAGCGUUUUAUCUGAUAGUGGGGGUGCGCGCUCCACUCAGUGACUGACAGGCAAGUAACAUAUACAGUGUGCACACGUUGGAUGGAGGGACAUAUCCCACAACCGGAUGGAGCCAGUGAAUGAUACGAGGACAUGAUUGCCCUAAGGUAUGGCUGAGGAGAAGGUUUUAAUGUAGACGUGAGGCAGAGUACGGCCAGAGGCAUCUGGGAGAGUUCAGAUCAAACCAGGCCAUAAGAGGAAAAAACAAGGGGUGGAGGUGAGAGGGAAAAAGAAGAGUGGGGACAAUCAGACUAAGAGAACCAAGAGCAAGUCAAGAGAGACAGAACAACCAAGAGGGGCUGAAAUGCCAGGGUUCUAUAGGAGAGAGAAGCUGGCAGGGAAGGGAGUCAAGCCCCAGGACUAUAGAGGUUUAGGGUAGCGGUAUAGUGAGAAGAGCUGAGAAGAGCCAAGACUCUGUAACUGGGACUUACAAUACUGAGAGAACCCAGAGGUCAGCAUGUGCUUUGGUUUGCUGCCAUUUGUCCCUGAGUUUCUCUGGGACCUGACAGCCAGGUAGGCUGAGGUUUUAUUACACUACUCACCAUGAUGAACAAUUUAGAACUCAUCAAUUAUUCAUGUCUGGGAUUUUUCCAUUUAACAUUUUGUGCAGCAAGUUGUGUAGGUAAGUAAAUCAUGGACAACAGAACUCCGGAGGCUGCAGCGGGAGAACUCCUGAGUGCCUAUUAAAUGACUUGGUUCUGGUUCCAAUGGCGGAGGUUCUGAAGUGGGCACUGCCAGCACCUACUGAAUUCUUACCAGCUCCGAGCGACUCUAACGUGGGUGUUCUCAGAACCACAUUUUGAGAAACAGUCCUCCGUAUUGACAUAAUUGGCAGCAUCCUUCCUUUAAACACUUCCCUUUGGUUGCUAUGAUACACCCCUCCUCCCCAAGUUCUGUGGGCUCUCUAAUUCUGUUCUCCAUCUCCCACUUCCUCUCCAGCCUGUACCACUGUCCCCAGACUCUCUGCUCCUUCCUCCGCUGUCUGUCCCCUGGGGCAUGGCUCCAACUUGGGCAGAUGGUCCAACCUUGCCCUGGUGAGUGCCAGCCUCCUGGUGAGAUCCGUGGAUUUUGGAACAGAGUUGUACUUCAUUCAGCCUGGGUCCAGGACUUAGCUGUGAAGAAGGUGAUAUUGACGCUGCUGCUCCAAUCACCCCCACCCUGCUCUGGGCCUUUCCUCUUCCAUUAAGAUCUCCUGCUUUGCAGUUUUCUAAUCAAAUUAGUUCCGAGGGAAGAGCUGAUCUGUUUACACGGUCACACUAAUGUGCCAACUCUCCCAGUCACUGGCAUUUGCAAAGCCUUUUUCCGUCUUUGUGGUUUCAACCCUGUUAUUUCAGGCUUCCCUUAGCAGAUAGGGUGAUUCAGAAGGGCACGACCAAGGGAUAGGGCGAGCUGAUUUGAGAAGGGCUGGCUCUUCUCUUCUUCGACAUUUCUAGGAGCGUAGACUGAAAACUAGCCUGUCAAACGGCUGGGAGGGCAGGACUUGGACCUUCUAGGUCUUGGGCAAGGAUAAGCAAUAACUGCAGUCACAAUAGGCCAGACCCUAGAAGCACGGAGGAUAAGGACAGACUACAGAGCUGCAAUUGGGCUUACUUCCUGCCACGCCUACCCAUGGCCACGCCUACCCAUAGCCACUCCUACCCAUAUACUUCUAAGAGCUCCUCUUCACUGGUCAGGUCUCAUCUUAAAAGUUCUCUCUUGGGAAUAAAUAGCCUGACCUGGCCGCCAGGUUGUGGUCCCUUUUUGUGAUCCUGUGUUAGCAACCGCUUGCCUUUGUUGUAUUUAUCACAGGUUGUAAUUAUUUGAUUUCCUUCUUCCUGUCUCCUUCUGGAGUUAAGUAAGGCUCCAGGCGGGUGAGACCAGGCUGCCUCACACCCCUUCUAUGCAGGUUCAAAACAGAGAUCAACAGGAAGCCGGAAGGACAGCAUGAACAAGCCCUACCACCCUGCAGUCCCCGAGCUGAAGCAAACUGUCCUCAAUAGGCAUGUGGUGCAGAAAGGCAGAAAACUGACAGUAAUAUAAAUGAUUCUUGUAUGUAAAACUGCCAAUAGAUGUUUGCCCAGUAGAGGGGGCAAUUGGCGCUUUUCCUGCGACUAUCAAGAUCUGAAUGCGCCAUAGUUUUCCUGAGGUCCCGUGUGCUCUUAGAAUUCUCCUUUGAGCCAGUCAGAACAUCUUACUGACUGCCUCAUUAGUUGGUAAAAUAACAUCUCUGACAAUCUCUGACAUAUUAGUUUCAUAUUUGUACCUGAGUCAAAUGUUUAGCUUCUUAAAAAUAUUUUUUUCAUUCGAACUUCAUGGAAACCAAGUAUUUUGUGCAUCAAAAGAUACUAUCAGGAAAAUGAAAAGUCCCCCUACAAAUGGAGGAAAAAAAACCCAACCCACACACAAAUCACAUCUAGAGAAUAAAGAACUAAACUUCAGCAAUACCGACAGGAGCAGUGACAAACAAACACAAACAAAACAACAACAAUAACAAAACCAAUUAAAAAUGGUCAAAGGCUUCAAUUAGGCAGCUCUCUAAAGAAAAUACAAAAGCACAUGUGAAUGUCACCAGAGUUGUUAGGUCAAAGCCUGAGCUCUCCUGGCAUAGCGGAAGGACCACAGGACAAAGGCAAGCUGGCAGAGGAUAGACAAAGACUGUCCCCAUGUAACUUCACAUAACUAACAUCAGUCUGCAGAAAAGCCCUUGACAUAGGAGCCAGGUAGAUGGUUGCUGUGUAACCAUAAAGGUUACUCACCUUGUGACCCCGUGCUUUGGUUUGAUUUGUUUCCCCCUCACUACUCUAGCCACACCUAUGCGAAGGAGCAUUUUCCCUCCAGUCUGAUUCUGUCUCUAACCAUGUGUCCCCGGUGGACUCCUUUGACACAGUAUAAAAGCCUGAAAUUGGGUGCCCUCAGAACUCAGAUCUACAGUCUGGCAUGAAAAUUCUCUCUCUCUCUCUCUCUCUCUCUCUCUCUCUCUCUCUCUCUCUCUCUCUCUCCCCUUCCUUCCCUAUUCCUCCCUCCCUACUUCUCCAUCUGUCCUUGAUAAUUCUACUCCUAGAUGUAAAUACAGGAGACUGAAAGCAGGGAUUUGACAGAUGUUUGAGCAUGGCCAUAGCAGCAUUAGUAACAGCAGCCAAUGUUGAAGUAAUCUGAAGCCAGGUAAGCCAGGUAGAUAUCUAUGAUCUUAUUACGAAGCUGAGGUAGGACUAUCAAGAGUCAAGGCCAGCCUAGAGAUCCUGUCACACACACACACACACACACACACACACACACACACACACACACACACACACACACGGGGGGGGGCGCAUGAUAGAGAGAAUCAACCAGCAGAUAAUGAAUGAAUGAAUGAAAUAUUGCAUAUAAAUACAGUGGGGGAUGCUAUUCAACCACUUAGAGGAAUAAAAUGCCAAUAUAUGCUACAAAUGAAUGGACUUUGUGUUAAUUCGGGUUUCCAUUCUGUGAUGAAACAUCAUGACCAAAACCAGCUUGAGGUGGGAAGGGUUUAUUCUGUUUACACUUCCAGGUAACAGUCCAUCACUAAUGGGAGUCCGGGAGGUACCUUAAGGGCAGAUGCUGAAGGCGCAGGAGCUGAUGCAGAGGCCGUGAAGGGGGGCUUCUUACUGGCUUGUUCCUCAUGGCUUGC